CUCUGUAAACCUCAAUUUCCUUUCGCCACAAAGCAGGGAUAAUGACAGCACUCCCCUCACUGGUCAGCUAUCAGAUGGGAGUGAUACGGAAGUGAGGGCACUUAGCUGGGAGCAGCCUGGAGUAGAUGCUCGUAAAUGGUAACCAAGGAUAUUAGUAACAUCAGACGGGCUCUAGUCAAGGGAAGAUCAACUUACUAAACAAUCCAGUGGGUGUCAGAGAAGUUCAAACAAAAUGCAGUGGGAGCUCAAAGCAAGGAGUGAUUGAUUGCCACUGGAGAGAUGAGGGCACUUUCUCAGGGAAUGGGACAGGUUGCCUCGACUUAGAAGGUGAAGGAAAAAGGAGUUUCUCCUUGGAGAAGAAAAUUGAGUGGAACAUUUGUAUCUUUUUUCCCUGGAUUUGCAAGAUGUGAUUCAUGAAGUCAGCUCUCAAUAAAACCCAUAACUGAAUGGACAAAUAUCUAAAGAUAAGUUCAAAGGAAGGGUACAGAGAAGUAAAGGAUUCGGCCAUAAAUCAUUCAUAGGAUUUUUCACACGAGCAGCAUAGAAACAAGGCUGCCACUUUCUCAGAAUCACAAGCCACCAGGGCCACAGGCAAAAGCCUCUCACCCCUGGGGUUACAGAUGGGUAGACUGAGGCUCAAAGAGGAAGAACCCCCCGCCAAGUGGCUUUCUCCCCUCCCAGGCUCAGAAUCUCAGCACUGCACCAAACUGGUUCCAUCACCCUGGAGACAUGAACCUGACAAGUGCCACUAACAUUUUGUGAAGCUGUUUUCUUCCCUGUGAAUAUCGCAGAGCCUCGAUCUCCCUGGGUUUUUGGGAGGAUUACUGAAA
Zalophus californianus (California sea lion) is the source of this 830-nucleotide long non-coding RNA. RefSeq lists it as uncharacterized. The record is from RefSeq and is a predicted model, not a curated record. The transcript is spliced from 3 exons. NCBI's taxonomy places the organism in Eukaryota, Metazoa, Chordata, Mammalia, Carnivora, Otariidae.